Long non-coding RNA from Mauremys reevesii (Reeves's turtle), 225 nucleotides. RefSeq lists it as uncharacterized. The record is from RefSeq and is a predicted model, not a curated record. The transcript has 3 exons. Lineage: Eukaryota; Metazoa; Chordata; Testudines; Geoemydidae.
CGAGUCAGUGAUUUCUCCCAGAAAACGAUUGUGCUAAUGCAGAUUCUGGGGAAGUUCAAAGACACUCUGCCAUCUGCACUAGAGAUGAAAAGAGGAGGAUCCCUAGGAACAUUCAGACAGGCGACUGUGACUCUGGAUCCAGACACGGCUCAUCCCCAACUCGUCCUGUCUGAGGAUCAGAACAGUGUGAGAUGGGGAGACACACGGCAGCAACUGCCCAACAAC